Molecule: long non-coding RNA, 1354 nt
Organism: Gymnodraco acuticeps
Lineage: Eukaryota; Metazoa; Chordata; Actinopteri; Perciformes; Bathydraconidae
Exons: 3
Source: RefSeq, a predicted model, not a curated record
UUGUAGCGUGUUCAAGUAACCAAGGAAUAUAGUAUCAAAUAAGUAUAAGAUGUGCACAGUUAUGAUAAGUUUUACAGUUAUGUAAUGUACUGUUGUUGGGGGGAGAGACCGCCCCUUCCAUAUGAGCAUGAGGCGUGCAUGACGGGACGAGUUAUGUUCUUAUGUGGAAAAGUCAUACAGUGCGGUGAAUGCUGGCUUUAUUGCUACUGUAUCCGUAGCGCCCCACGCAAUAGUUGGGACUGUGUACUGAUGUCAGUAAAAAAGGUUUGUCCCCCCAAUCGCAAAUGUCAAACUCCGCCUAUGAGCUGCACGUCUUCUGACUGGCCACAAAAAGCGUGACCACAUCACCCCAAUUCUGGCCUCACUACACUGGCUUCCAAUUCAGUUCCGAAUUGAUUUUAAAAUCCUUUUAUUUGUUUUCAAAGCCCUAAAUGGGCUGGUUCCUGCCUAUAUAGCCAAACUCCUCCAUCGCUACACCCCAGCCAGAGGUUUAAGGUCUGCUGACCAGCUGUUGCUGAUAGUGCCCAAGACCAGGCUCAAAACCUGAGGUCACUGAGCCUUCGCAGCAACUGGCCUCAGGCGCUGGAAUAGUCUGCCCCUCCAUGUGAGGUCGGCCCAGACACUAGGGUUUUUUAAAUCCUCACUAAAGACUCACUUCUUCUCCCAGGCCUUCUAGUCAGAGCGGAGCAUGACACCUGACUAUUCCCUGUGUUUUUGUUUUUUAUAUUUCUGUUGUAAAUUAUUGUCUUUUAUUGAGAUAGUAAUGUGUUUUUAUUACAUGUACAGCACUUUGGCUCAACCUGACUAUUCCCUGUGUUUUUGUUUUUUAUAUUUCUGUUGUAAAUUAUUGUCUUUUAUUGUGAUAGUAAUGUGUUUUUAUUACAAGUACAGCACUUUGGCUCGACCAAAGUCUUGAACCAGCAAGACCAGCCUGGCCAGCUUGUCCAGCCUGGUAAACCAACUAAACCAGCCUAACACCAGCUAAAACCAGCCAAGCAACCCGGGAAACUGGCUAUGGACGUUUGUUCACUUUCUUCUAGCUCUUAUUAUUAUUUAUAACAUCUGUUUUUGUGUUUAAUCCAUAGAGCUGAGUAUGAGCAUUUCCCCUCCUGGAUUGAGCCAGGAGGAUCUAUUACUCUGUCAAAGCUCCUCUCCCUCUGGGGGAACCUUGUCUGCUUUCAGUGUAGGGACUGCAUGGUGUGACACUUUAAAAGGUUAGCAGGCAUUGUGACCUAGUGGACCAGACCUGCCCAUCUGAGGAGGGAAAACCCACCAUGUAAUAGUGUAAAGUAUGUUUACCCGUUGACUGCUGCUGAACAUUGACAUUUUAACAUGUAUAUUUGUGAAAUAAAGC